RNAcentral lists this ribosomal RNA (647 nucleotides) under uncultured bacterium. RNAcentral describes it as "bacterial SSU rRNA". It matches the Rfam family "Bacterial small subunit ribosomal RNA", at positions 110 to 753 of the family's 1533-position model. The record is from RNAcentral.
GUAAUGCGUAGGAAGCUGCCCGAUAGAGGGGGAUACCAGUUGGAAACGACUGUUAAUACCGCAUAAUGUCUACGGACCAAAGUGUGGGACCUUCGGGCCACAUGCUAUCGGAUGCGCCUACGUGGGAUUAGCUAGUUGGUGAGGUAAUGGCUCACCAAGGCGACGAUCUCUAGCUGGUUUGAGAGGAUGAUCAGCCACACUGGAACUGAGACACGGUCCAGACUCCUACGGGAGGCAGCAGUGGGGAAUAUUGGACAAUGGGCGCAAGCCUGAUCCAGCCAUGCCGCGUGUGUGAAGAAGGCCUUCGGGUUGUAAAGCACUUUCAGCGAGGAGGAAGGGAUGUAUGUUAAUAGCAUGCAUUUUUGACGUUACUCGCAGAAGAAGCACCGGCUAACUCUGUGCCAGCAGCCGCGGUAAUACAGAGGGUGCAAGCGUUAAUCGGAAUUACUGGGCGUAAAGCGCACGUAGGCGGUUCGUUAAGUUGGAUGUGAAAGCCCCGGGCUCAACCUGGGAAUUGCAUUCAAAACUGGCCAACUAGAGUAUGUGAGAGGGGGGUAGAAUUCCAAGUGUAGCGGUGAAAUGCGUAGAGAUUUGGAGGAAUACCAGUGGCGAAGGCGGCCCCCUGGCACAAUACUGACGCUGAGGUG